RNAcentral lists this ribosomal RNA (490 nucleotides) under uncultured bacterium. RNAcentral describes it as "partial 16S ribosomal RNA". It matches the Rfam family "Bacterial small subunit ribosomal RNA", at positions 28 to 507 of the family's 1533-position model. The record is from RNAcentral.
GAUGAACGCUAGCUACAGGCUUAACACAUGCAAGUCGAGGGGAAACGAUGAGAGAGCUUGCUCUCUUAGGCGUCGACCGGCGCACGGGUGAGUAACGCGUAUCCAACCUACCCAUUACAGGGGGAUAACCUUGCGAAAGUAAGACUAAUACCCCAUGGCAUUUUAUGGUGGCAUCAUUAUAGGAUUAAAGAUUUAUUGGUAAUGGAUGGGGAUGCGUCUGAUUAGCUUGUUGGCGGGGUAACGGCCCACCAAGGCAACGAUCAGUAGGGGUUCUGAGAGGAAGGUCCCCCACAUUGGAACUGAGACACGGUCCAAACUCCUACGGGAGGCAGCAGUGAGGAAGAUUGGGCAAUGGGCGAGAGCUUGAACCAGCCAAGUAGCGUGCAAGGUGACGGCCCUAUGAGUUGUAAACUGCUUUUAUAGGGGAAUAAAGUGAGCUACGUGUAGUUUAUUGCAUGUACCCUAUGAAUAAGGACCGGCUAAUUCCGUG